CAAGUACUGCGUUCGGGCUCAAAUCGGCUAAACGACGCCCCAUGUCGAUGCUAACGCUAACGGAGCUCACCUAAUGGUGACAGACUCUGACGUCAGCUCUGCGGUGGGCUCUAAGUUUCCGGAUACGCCAUAAACUACGGGUGCCUGGUACGUUUUUCCCGCCACAGAUGACUUCCAAAACUAUCAACGGGUUUACUUUUUCACCGGUGAUGCUGAAACACACGAAUGCACGCUUCCGGACAAAGCAGCUGAAGUAAUAGAAGCAAGACGGGAAAGGAAUGAAGAACUUGUCAGCUUCAUUGUUGAAGAAAAGGGUGCUGAGGAAAGCCUUGAGGCCAUUUUAUCGGGUGAUGAGAUGCCACAUUUCCAUUUCAAAGAGAAGUGGGUUCCAAUCAUCUUUGAUGAUGACCAACAACUCGACCGGAUCAUGACAUACCUGUCACACCUGCUAGACAACUUCAAACACAAAUCAGUUGAAGUCCUGAGCAUGGUUAGCCUGGCAAGCCAGACUAAAUAAAUGUAUUAUUUAGUCUGGCCAUGCUCAAUUGACGGCUCUCGGUUGUGGGGCGGGUUCUACCGUUGUCUUUCAAAUGAUCUCCGCAUUCCACUGGAUAAUGAAUGUGACAUACUCUUGUUUCACUCUGUUGCAUCAUCCCACCCACCAGGCAUAUAGAGUGCCCUGAUUGGCCCACAAAGCGGAUAAAGCUCUGUGAUUUGUUCACUGAGCAGAUAGAGCAUGAUUGGCCCACCAUUAUGGACCAAUCACAGCUCUUUAUGUGUUUGAAACCCCUCUAGAGAGCUGUGAUUGGCAAGCCAGAGUCCUGGUAGGAGCUGCUGAGGUUCCAAUGGAGCAUGCCUAGACCAUUCUUUGCAAAGCAAGAAUUUGGUCUAGUUCACUAGGCUAGAGCAUGGUCUCUUCUGACCGGAUCAAGUACACACUGACUGUAAUGCUGUCAGAGGCAUCCGCAACAGCACUCAAAGGUCCAAGGGCUAACCAGGGCUGAGGCAGUGGAAAAGAUUGAGCACGCAGCAAAAAAGUGGAACUUCUCAUGAAACUGAAAACAGAAAUGGAGACGUUCAAAUCUCUGAAGUUCUCUGGAAUGUGGGAGAGUAAAAAAGUUUGAGGCUGAAUAUUUCUGCUUGUUUUUAAUUAAGACACAGAAACAUCAAAGUCAUUUUUGCAUAGUUGUGGCUGUUCUGUAACUGUGCUACAUGUUACCGAAAAAAUACAAUUGUUUUGAAGUUUCACAAAUCAGGGAAAGGUUUCACAAAUCCCACACUGUGUUUUAUUUGAUCUGCUAUUAUAGUAGAAUAAUGUAGAACAGGUUUGAAUAGUGUAGGGCAGUGGUUCCUAACCUGGGGGUCCCGACCCCCACAAGGGGGCGCCAAAGCAUCUCAGUGGGUCGCCAGGACCUUUCCACUUUAAGGGGUUAAAACUUCAUUUAUUACUUGUUUAUAGCCUACAUUUUACUCAGUUUUUUUCAUGAGUGAAAAGUUUACUGAUAUUAAGACAGGAAAUAGUUAGUACAGAAAAAGUAACACACUUUUAAGAACAUUUGGCUCAGCUCACUGUUUUAUUUUCAAGUGUCAAAAGUUCAUUAAAAUAGGACUGGUUGAUUAAUCACAGCCUUUACAGUAAAUAAUCUAGUAUAAACAGUAAUAUACACAUUUAAGUACAUUUUGCUCAGUGUAUUUUUUAUGUGUCAAACGUUUAUUGAAAGGAAUGAUUGAUUUAUCAGUGUUUACAAGAAACAAUGUGUUCAGAAAAGUAAUACAAACUGUCAAGCACAUUAUGCUCUGUUUGGUUUUGUUAAUGACUUUGUUCUGUACUGCAGCCUACUAUUACUGUUAUCUAUUGAAUCAAAGCAUAUUAAAAUGUGCUUGAACAAUUUUAUCAUUUCUUAAUGUUUGUAUUGGAAGAGAGAAUGGGAGGGGGUCGUCAAAAAUUUUACUGGUAAAAAACGGGUCCCUUGGGAAAAAGGUUGGGAACCACUGGUGUAGGGGCUGUACUUCUUGAGCUACAGCUUUUCCAGUGUUGGCCAGAUGCUGAAAAAACACAUAAAUCUGGAUUUGUUGAAGUUUCACAAAUCAGGAAAAGGUUUAACAAAUCCCAGACAAGGUUGUAUGCAAUCUGCUAUUAUUUCAGAAUAAUCUAGAACAGGUUUGAACAGUGUGGCUGUUGUAGUUUUUGAGCUACAGCUGUUCCAUCGUUGGCCAGAUGCUGAAAAAAACCCGCAUAAAUCUGGAUUUGUUGAAGUUUCACAAAUCAUGGAAAUGUUUCACAAAUCCCACACUGUGUUUUAUUUGAUCUGCUUUUAUAGUAGAAUAAUCUAGAACAGGUUUGAAAAGUGUGGGUGUUGUAGUUUUUGAGGUAGAGCAGAUUAAAGAUGGUCAGAGUAGAGAAAAAUUGGGUGUAAUGGCCCUUUAGCCGUUACCUGAAUCGGAAGCUAACUUCAGCCUAGUCAUCAGCAGCGUUUGUUCACAACCGUUUUCAGGUAAAGUAAUUUUGUUUAUUCUAGAAGCUUUCGGGACUUACAUGUUAACUUUAGAUGGUUUCAUGUAUGUUUUAAGCUACAGAAUGAACUUGUUAAAUGUACACAACACAUUACUACAGAGUAUUAUCAUGUAGGUAAUUAAUAUAACCCAAAUGCAUUAUAAAUGUUGAAUGCAGUCGGAUGUUUUCUAAUGUAAAUUGGACCUUAGAACUUAUUUACCAUCAAAUGGGGGUAAAACGUUUUAAAAAACAGGCUUUUUAAUAAAAUGGCAUUUAAGUGUUUUCAGUGUGCAUUUGUUUAUUCAACUUAAGCCUAAUAAUGAUUAGAUCUGUCUUAAAUAAAAACUACAGAGAAUUUACAUUUUUAACUAUUCCCUGCUGUUUCUUUAAACAGAACAGAAUCAGUGUACUGCAGGUUAUAUGUUUGUUUUACAUUUUUCAAUGGAAAAAAAACCUCUUAUUUAAUCUAUUACAGGUCAGCAUGCACUGUGCUGCACAUCUGCCUCUGUGCUGGUGAAGUUGUGGGUCUGGAGGAUGAGCCUGAGGAAGAUGUGUGUGGAGGAGGUCAGCGGUGCUCUGUCCUGGAGGAGGUACCAGCAGACCACCACUACUGUUAACAGGAAAGUCAUUUAUGUAGGAACCUCUAUUA
This is a non-coding RNA of Nothobranchius furzeri (turquoise killifish), 3143 nucleotides long. The record is from RefSeq and is a predicted model, not a curated record. NCBI's taxonomy places the organism in Eukaryota, Metazoa, Chordata, Actinopteri, Cyprinodontiformes, Nothobranchiidae.